This 292-nucleotide ribosomal RNA is filed under the name uncultured eukaryote. RNAcentral describes it as "partial 18S ribosomal RNA". It matches the Rfam family "Eukaryotic small subunit ribosomal RNA", at positions 6 to 302 of the family's 1831-position model. The record is from RNAcentral.
GGUUGAUCCUGCCAGUAGUCAUAUGCUUGUCUCAAAGACUAAGCCAUGCAUGUCUAAGUAUAAGUGUUAUACAGUGAAACUGCGAAUGGCUCAUUAAAACAGUUAUAGUUUAUUUGAUAAUCGAAUUUACAUGGAUAACCGUGGUAAUUCUAGAGCUAAUACAUGCUGGUUAGCCUGACUUUUAGGAAGGGCUGUAUUUAUUAGAUAACAAACCAAUAUUCUUCGUGUCUAUUGUGACGACUCAUAAUAACUGAUCGGAUCGCAUGGGCUUUGCCCGCGACAAAUCAUUCAA